Molecule: long non-coding RNA, 2560 nt
Filed under: Lynx pardinus (Iberian lynx)
Lineage: Eukaryota; Metazoa; Chordata; Mammalia; Carnivora; Felidae
Source: RNAcentral
CUCCGUCCUUGCGGACUGUCUCCCCUCCCCCGCCCCAUUCGGAACGGCGGUGUCCCCUGGGUGUCGUGGCUGGAAGGGGCAAGCCGGCCCUCCCGGGGCCAAGGGCCCUGUUGUCCCUUCUGCAGUCUCAGUGCAGGGACCUCUCCAACCACACGCUGCGUCUUGGAGGGAGUUGCCUGCGGCCCUGGGGAGGACCUCUCCACCACUGCUUUUCCUCAACCGUCUCCAACUCCUCUGUUGGAGGCAAGAUUAUCAACAAGUCGGUCGCGAAGUAGCCUGCCACGUUUCGUUCAAACCCGCUGCCCCCGGCCUCCCAGACCGCACCGCAGGUACGCGCAGCCGCUCUGUUUAUCCCGUGUAAGCACUUGGGAAGCGCUUUGAUGGAUGGCCUUCCAGAAGGUCCCCCAAAGCGUGGACAAUCCUAUUCUUAGGUGGGGGGAAGGAGGGAACCAAGAGCCCAGGACUAAGAGUGGAGAGUCAGACACUGUAGUUGACUCACUGAAGAAACAUUCACUCAGUUCCUUCUCACUCAGUCUCUGUGGGCACCCUGCAUCACCCCAUAUAGACACCCACUCCGAGUAUAAACUGCCCUGCAGACCAGUUUUCCGACCAGUUUUCUAGGGACCUCUUGCAUGCAGAGUGCUCACCCAAGACUAUUCUCCGGGUAAACUCUUUAGAGCCACAUCUGAACCAAGGAGACAUGGGGGGAGAAACGUGAAUGGGACUCUGUGCCUCCCCCCCCCCCCCCGCCCCUGCGAGCCUGGGGUGCAGUCAAGGAGACAGAUCAUGAAAUCAGCCAUUCUGCCCUCCAGCUGUGGUGCAAGAGGGGGUCUGCUGUAAGCAGGGGUAGAGGAAUGUGGAUGAGGCAGAAGGCAGUCGAGGCUUCCAGAGGAAAAUGGCCUCUGGGAAUGGGAGAGUAUUUCAAGUGUUGGGAAUCCCUUGGACAAAGCGGUGGAGAUACUUGUGCAUUCACUCAUUCAUUCAUGCACUCACUCAUUCAUCCAUUCCAUACACAGUGUCUUUGAGUGCCUACUAAGGUCAGACGGAGCAUUUGAGGAGGGGUAUACACCAGGGCACAAGCGAGAUAUUGGUGCUGUCCUGUGCGACAACCAUGAAGGGAGGAGGGAUGGUAAGAAAAUAUUGAAAGAGGGGGCUUCCCAGGUGACUUUCUCUCACUAAUAGUUUGAAGCAGAAGGAUGAGUCACAAAAUUGAGCCACUAUUCAUCAGCUGAGGUCAAAACAACAUUGAUUAUGCUAAUGCCUUUCUACUUAAGCCAGUCAGGGUAUUUUGUUCAGUUGGUGAUUCCAGUCUUUCGAUGUGACAGCAACCUGUCAUGUUUGUACACGGAGCUCUUUACCACUUAAAAAACGUUCUUCGUAUCACAUUUAAUGCCGUUCUCACAACUCUUCGAGGUGAAGGUAAUUGCUCCAUUCGACAGGUUCAGAGACGUGAGGAACUUGUCCGGGCUCACACAGCCGCUCACCUGGGAUUGAGAAGGACUGAGCCCCAGGCAGUCGUCCCGUUCUUUGGAAGGACCUGGGCAGGUUUUAUAUGUUGGAAGGCCUGCAUUAUACAUUCUGGUCUUCAGGACUCCUGUGCUCGGCCCUCUCUGUGUACCUCUGGGCCUGUAACCUCCUGGCCUUCCUAACACUGUGGAGCAUCACAGCCUCAUGGCAAAGAACAGCCUCUGGCAUGGGCCCCCUCCCCCCAUAGCAGGGCUGAGGCGGGGCUCUGGUUCCUCUCACCCUUUCUGGACCCAAAUGGCAACCGCACACCACAGUCCCUGGGAUCUGCCUACAGGGGACCGGGCAACUGCUCAGAACUGCAGGGCAAAUUUUGACCAGUGAAAGGAGGAAAGAUCCGGUGCUUGGAUCGUAGUGGUCUCACCGGGCCUGUCAGGAGAUUCGAGUAGGCACGACUGGGCAACCGACAGUGUGUUCUUCUGAAGACAUGGCCAGCUCAGUAGCACACAGCCUCGUGUUCCCUUGCUUGUUCCACUCCCCUCGCCCGCUAGCGUCUGUUGCCCGAGGGUCGUAUCCCUCAAUAAAGGAUUAGCAAGCAAGCAUUGCUUCAUGCUCUGUCUCCCCAGGAACUACAGACAAUUGGUACCACAAGUGACCCUAGAAAGCCGAUCUUCAGGAUGGAAUGUUGGAGCCAGACUGCGAUCUGUCUGGAAGCAAUACGAGCCCCAUUACCGAUGGUAAGCAGGGUCGUAUAUGGCAUAGAGCGACCCUACAAUUUCUGAAGCUUCACCCGUGGCUACUUGGAAUGAGCUGCAGGUAGAAAGCCAGGCUUUGGAAGGUCACGUGGCUGCCGUGCGUGAUCGACGUGGGGGAAAUGAUAAUCAUAAGGACUGUGGGGUUAGAUGGCUUCUGACAGCACUGGAGAGCCAAUGAUAGGCUCAGGGAAGCCAUUUGCCAACUGACAUCCACAAGACAGACUGUGUGAAGGUCAGGCUCCAGAACUGGUAUGUGGGGUGGCAGAGCUGACAAGGAGUCUUGGCGUGCCACCACGCAGGUGUCCCGUGUCCAAGUCCGGGCUCUGAUGGGGAGAGAGUUG